This 478-nucleotide long non-coding RNA is filed under the name Dasypus novemcinctus (nine-banded armadillo). RNAcentral's name for it is "lncRNA (ENSDNOG00000050018.1)". The record is from RNAcentral. Lineage: Eukaryota; Metazoa; Chordata; Mammalia; Cingulata; Dasypodidae.
GGAGAUCUGAGAAUCAAACCCAGAUCUUUCUGCCUCUACAUCACAGCCUCUUAACUUUGAAGCUGCAUUGCCUCUGGAUCAUCACUUAAAUAUAAAUAUUAGGGGCAUAGGGCUAAUAAAGGGGAGCAGACCACAGAGAACUAAUGAAAGUACUCAUUUGAUUCUAAUUAUUCAUCCACACACAGAUCAUUGGGAGAAAAUUUUAUAGAAAUGGUUUGAUAUUCUUUCUUUUGCUUCCUGUCCUGUGAGCUCUGAGUAUCUCCUCCCCCUUCUGAAGCACCCAAUCCCUGCCAAGUUCUCCCCUCAGAGUCUUCCCCCCUGUGCCCAAGAGCCAGGUUUUGCUGUGUGCUCACUCCUGGGGAGGACCUUAUCAGAGAGAACAAAAGAUACAAAGCUCCUUCUUCUGUACAUAUCCCAGACUCAAGAUGUAACAAGAAUGCCCAUGACUGGGGAUGCCUUUGCCAGUUAUGGACAAUGC